This 107-nucleotide ribosomal RNA is filed under the name Meeboldia yunnanensis. RNAcentral describes it as "partial 5.8S ribosomal RNA". It matches the Rfam family "5.8S ribosomal RNA", at positions 51 to 154 of the family's 154-position model. Rfam says of the family: 5.8S ribosomal RNA (5.8S rRNA) is a component of the large subunit of the eukaryotic ribosome. It is transcribed by RNA polymerase I as part of the 45S precursor that also contains 18S and 28S rRNA. The record is from RNAcentral. Lineage: Eukaryota; Viridiplantae; Streptophyta; Magnoliopsida; Apiales; Apiaceae.
UUAUGCGAUUAACUGGUGUGAAUUGCAGAAUCCCGUGAACCAUCGAGUCUUUGAACGCAAGUUGCGCCCGAAGCCAGUAGGUUGAGGGCACGUCUGCCUGGGUGUCA